GGAAAAACGGCCUGAGGGACAGGGCUUGCGGCUUGCAUUGUAAAAUUAUGAUUCUGAAUUUAAAAGGACUCCUCCAUUGGGAAGCGCUUUGCUGAGAGGCAGACGGCUUUCACACAACUCCGGGCCAGGAUGCAGCCCUUCCCAGGCCUUGCCUACAGACCUCUCCUCCACCGACGCCCCAGGCCAGCAUGGGGGAAGCUUGCGGCAGGUUUCCUGCAGUGUCACUGCAAAAUCCAGUCCAAGGGGCAAAACCAGAGGGGCCGGAAUAAGCGAAGGUUUCUAGGAAAACCAGCCCUUGAACAGUGAGGGCAGAGAGUGUUCCUCCGUGGAGUUCCAGCACCUUCUGCUCUCCAUCCAUCCAUAAGUGGAAAGGUCAGGGACCUGGACUCAGGAGGCCAGAGAACGGGUCUGUUUAUGGGGGUUCUCCAAGCACCACUGCAAGCACCAAAGAAGUUUCCUGUUGAGCAGUCAAUCGGCGAAGGGGAAGAGGAUCCAGGAGGCAGUUGAAGAGAGCAAUGGUGGGGUCCUGAAGGCGAGUCUCUGGAGGCUGAAUCGGAAGAAAGCCCACACGCUGGGCACCAGUGAUGAAACAAAACUCUGGACCCCAAAUGGGGGAGCAAUCUGUGUGUGCUGGUCCCCGGCCGAGGACCUCUGCAAAAGUGUCACCUCUUGGCAGCAUGACCAGCAUGACAUAGAGCACUGCAGCCGUCAACAGGUAGGCGAGCACGUACUCCCCUGGCACAAAGACAGAGGUGCUCUCGCCCAACGUCCCCUGGGAGCCCCUGGGCAGGAAUCUGACCCCAUGACCCCCAGGGCUGGUGCACAUGGUCCCUGGGGCCAGAGGGGCUUCCUGGAGUCUGGAUCACCCUGGCCCUGCCUGAUGGCCUAUGAGCCGUGGGGGACCGGUACAUGCGGCCAGCUGUGGCCAGCAUUGUCCUUUCCCUGCAUCAUUCUGUGUCCGGAUGCCACAUCUGCCCUGCAGGGCUCAGGAAACUCCCCCCAUGCAGGCCUCUCCUGCAUUAGGUCUGGCCAGCUUUGAAUAUCUAGGAGGGUUACGGGAGGGGUUCUGGAGGGUCUCACACAAGGUACUACUCUCCCCUUAAAAGCCAGUGGAAUGUUCAGUGUUCACGGUUCAGGAAUCUGAGGUCUGGCUGUGAGCAAGGAAACUUGAUUUCAAACCCAUCCUGCAAGCAGUGAAAUGCUUGAGGUGAGGUAGAAGCCCUUCAGGAUGUUGAGAUCACAACAGGGAUCCUGGGGGCCAAGGGCUCCUCCUGGGGGCAAGAG
Molecule: long non-coding RNA, 1284 nt
Organism: Canis lupus familiaris (dog)
Lineage: Eukaryota; Metazoa; Chordata; Mammalia; Carnivora; Canidae
Exons: 4
Source: RefSeq, a predicted model, not a curated record